GGCUCAGAUUGGACGCUGGCGGCAGGCCUAACACAUGCAAGUCGAGCGGUAGAGAGGUGCUUGCAUCUCUUGAGAGCGGCGGACGGGUGAGUAAUGCCUAGGAAUCUGCCUAGUGGUGGGGGAUAACGUUCGGAAACGGACGCUAAUACCGCAUACGUCCUACGGGAGAAAGCGGGGGGAUCUUCGGACCUCGCGCCAUUAGAUGAGCCUAGGUCGGAUUAGCUAGUUGGUGAGGUAAUGGCUCACCAAGGCGACGAUCCGUAACUGGUCUGAGAGGAUGAUCAGUCACACUGGAACUGAGACACGGUCCAGACUCCUACGGGAGGCAGCAGUGGGGAAUAUUGGACAAUGGGCGAAAGCCUGAUCCAGCCAUGCCGCGUGUGUGAAGAAGGUCUUCGGAUUGUAAAGCACUUUAAGUUGGGAGGAAGGGUAGUAACCUAAUACGUUGCUACUUUGACGUUACCGACAGAAUAAGCACCGGCUAACUUCGUG
This 492-nucleotide ribosomal RNA is filed under the name uncultured bacterium. RNAcentral's name for it is "bacterial SSU rRNA". It matches the Rfam family "Bacterial small subunit ribosomal RNA", at positions 21 to 507 of the family's 1533-position model. The record is from RNAcentral.